RNAcentral lists this ribosomal RNA (497 nucleotides) under uncultured bacterium. Its description in RNAcentral is "partial 16S ribosomal RNA". It matches the Rfam family "Bacterial small subunit ribosomal RNA", at positions 28 to 507 of the family's 1533-position model. The record is from RNAcentral.
GAUGAACGCUGGCGGCGUGCCUAAUACAUGCCAGUCGAGCGAACAGACGAGGAGCUUGCUCCUCUGACGUUAGCGGCGGACGGGUGAGUAACACGUGGAUAACCUACCUAUAAGACUGGGAUAACUUCGGGAAACCGGAGCUAAUACCGGAUAAUAUAUUGAACCGCAUGGUUCAAUAGUGAAAGACGGUUUUGCUGUCACUUAUAGAUGGAUCCGUGCCGCAUUAGCUAGUUGGUAAGGUAACGGCUUACCAAGGCAACGAUGCGUAGCCGACCUGAGAGGGUGAUCGGCCACACUGGAACUGAGACACGGUCCAGACUCCUACGGGAGGCAGCAGUAGGGAAUCUUCCGCAAUGGGCGAAAGCCUGACGGAGCAACGCCGCGUGAGUGAUGAAGGUCUUCGGAUCGUAAAACUCUGUUAUUAGGGAAGAACAAAUGUGUAAGUAACUAUGCACGUCUUGACGGUACCUAAUCAGAAAGCCACGGCUAACUACGUG